RNAcentral lists this long non-coding RNA (1026 nucleotides) under Capra hircus (goat). RNAcentral's name for it is "lncRNA (ENSCHIG00000005303.1)". The record is from RNAcentral. Lineage: Eukaryota; Metazoa; Chordata; Mammalia; Artiodactyla; Bovidae.
UUGUAGUCCAAGUCAACAGGGCCCCAAAGGUCUGGGCUGGAGUAUUGCUAACUCUCCGGCUCAUGGAUCGAGCCAGACAAAGCGCCUGAGGUCAAAAUGUGGUAUCCCCAAGCUGUGUGCAGAUGUUCCUGUGUGAGCUGGAAGAGGAGGACUGGUCCCUCUUUGUCUGAGAUCAUGUGGAGUCCCUGCUGUGAACCAGGUUAUUUUCCAGAGAUGGAGACCAAGACCAGCAGCUGGUGGAUAGAGUGUAAGUGGCUCUUUCAUCUGACCUUGAAUUCGGUGACCUUGGCCAAGUUCUCUGGAGUCUGGAAAGCUUUAUCAACAGAAUUGGGAACUAGCAACAUCACUUCCUCCUGCUUGGGACCAUUUAACAUCAGGGUCCAAAGUCAGGAUGCAAAGCUGGGUGACAACGGAUGUCACUGACUAGUCAACAAGACGUGAGAAAGGAUUCAGCCCCCCACAAGGCUGCUCUCAGUCUGGGGACAUCGUAAGCUUUUAAACAUUAAUUUUACUUCAUUUGUACUUUGUUGAUCUUCUGUAAUACCCUCCUAAAUUUCCCACAAAGUGUUCCUUUUAAAAUUGGGAAGACUUAGUGAAAAUUUAAAUUUGUUUCUGUAGCUUAUUUCCCCAUCUCCUUCUGCUGCCCACUCUGUCCUUCCCAGGUAACCUUCCCCGGCCCCUCCCAGGCCAGCCUGGCUAGUCCUGCCCUGGGCUAACUUGGGGGAGGCCUGCAGGGCUGGACAGACAGCAUCAGGAUCCAGUGGGUCCUGCCACCUGGGACAUUGGUUGCCCUGCUGGAGGGGCUGGGCUGGGCAGCGUCUGUUGGUUUGAAAUGGCGACAGAGCACAGUGAUGAUGCAGGUGACCCUCUGCUCACUUCCAACCCUGUAUCAGAGUCUUUCUGAGCCACGUUUCAUCCCAUCUUCCCAUCAGCCCCGAGAGGAGUAUAUUGCUAUCAGCUCUCUUGAGUUUGCAGAUGGGGAUGCUGAGGCUCAGAGAGGUUAAACAACUUCCCUAAGUCACACAG